GACGAACGCUGGCGGCGUGCUUAACACAUGCAAGUCGAACGGAAAGGCCCUGCUUUUGUGGGGUGCUCGAGUGGCGAACGGGUGAGUAACACGUGAGUAACCUGCCCUUGACUUUGGGAUAACUUCAGGAAACUGGGGCUAAUACCGGAUAGGAGCUCCUGCUGCAUGGUGGGGGUUGGAAAGUUUCGGCGGUUGGGGAUGGACUCGCGGCUUAUCAGCUUGUUGGUGGGGUAGUGGCUUACCAAGGCUUUGACGGGUAGCCGGCCUGAGAGGGUGACCGGCCACAUUGGGACUGAGAUACGGCCCAGACUCCUACGGGAGGCAGCAGUGGGGAAUAUUGCACAAGGGGCGGAAGCCUGAGGCAGCAACGCCGCGUGCGGGAUGACGGCCUUCGGGUUGUAAACCGCUUUCGCCUGUGACGAAGCGUGAGUGACGGUAAUGGGUAAAGAAGCACCGGCGAACUACGU
Molecule: ribosomal RNA, 467 nt
Filed under: uncultured bacterium
Lineage: Bacteria
Description: partial 16S ribosomal RNA
Rfam family: Bacterial small subunit ribosomal RNA
Source: RNAcentral